GUGUUAAAGUUGGCAGCACCUCACUAAAAUUGGAAUAAUAGAGAUUAGCAUGGCCCCUUUGCAAGGGUGUCACAAAUUUUUGAAAUGUUCCACGUUUUC
This 99-nucleotide small nuclear RNA is filed under the name Catagonus wagneri (Chacoan peccary). The record is from RNAcentral. Lineage: Eukaryota; Metazoa; Chordata; Mammalia; Artiodactyla; Tayassuidae.